This 778-nucleotide ribosomal RNA is filed under the name uncultured Neocallimastigales. Its description in RNAcentral is "partial large subunit ribosomal RNA". It matches the Rfam family "Eukaryotic large subunit ribosomal RNA", at positions 26 to 645 of the family's 3401-position model. The record is from RNAcentral. Lineage: Eukaryota; Fungi; Neocallimastigomycota; Neocallimastigomycetes; Neocallimastigales.
CGUCUAUAUACGUAUAGCAUAUCAAUAAGCGGAGGAAAAGAAACUAACUAGGAUUCCCUCAGUAACGGCGAGUGAAGCGGGAAGAGCUCAAAUUUGAAAUCUUCAAGGUUUUACCUUGACGAAUUGUAGUUUAAAGAAGUGUUUUCUGUUGGAGUUUUGGUAAAAGUUCUUUGGAAAAGGACAUCAUAGAGGGUGAGAAUCCCGUAUUUGACCAGUUACUUUCCAGCUGUUGUGAUACACUUUCAAAGAGUCGGAUUGUUUGGGAAUGCAGUCCAAAAUGGGUGGUAAAUUUCAUCUAAAGCUAAAUAUUGGCGAGAGACCGAUAGCGAACAAGUACCGUGAGGGAAAGAUGAAAAGAACUUUGAAAAGAGAGUUAAACAGUACGUGAAAUUGUCAAAAGGGAAGCGUUUGACACCAGUGUUGUUUUCCUCGAAAAUCAAUUAAAAAUGGCUUGAUUUUGUGUUGUAUUGACCUUAAAAGCUUUCUUCACUUUUUUCAUGUCUUUUUUAAUGCACUUUUCGUUUAACAAGUCAACAUCAGUUUCUUUUGUUGUAAAAAGGUCAUUGGAAGGUGGCUUUCUUUUCGGAGAAAGUGUUUAUAGCCUUUGACUCCUGCAAUCGGAGAGACUGAGGUCUGCAGCGUAGAUCCUUCUGGAUUAGAUUCAUUUGUGCUAAGUUACAACCGUUUAUAGACAACUUGUUGACUAUAUUCGAUCCUGUAGCUUACUCGCUUAUGUAAUUUUACCUACGCUUAGGAUGUUGAAGUCAUCGUAUCGCGC